Molecule: ribosomal RNA, 301 nt
Filed under: uncultured bacterium
Lineage: Bacteria
Description: partial 16S ribosomal RNA
Rfam family: Bacterial small subunit ribosomal RNA
Source: RNAcentral
CAGCCGCCACGGUAAUACGUAGGGUGCGAGCGUUAAUCGGAAUUACUGGGCGUAAAGCGUGCGCAGGCGGUUGUGUAAGACAGGUGUGAAAUCCCCGGGCUUAACCUGGGAACUGCGCUUGUGACUGCACAGCUAGAGUAUGGCAGAGGGGGGUGGAAUUCCACGUGUAACAGUGAAAUGCGUAGAGAUGUGGAGGAACACCGAUGGCGAAGGCAGCCCCCUGGGCCAAUACUGACGCUCAUGCACGAAAGCGUGGGGAGCGAACAGGAUUAGAUACCCGGGUAGUCCCUGUCUCUUAUAC